Molecule: non-coding RNA, 386 nt
Organism: Malus domestica (apple)
Lineage: Eukaryota; Viridiplantae; Streptophyta; Magnoliopsida; Rosales; Rosaceae
Source: RefSeq, a predicted model, not a curated record
CCACCACUUAAUGGCCCAAAAAUGAUCCUGAAACUGCCAACGUAGCUUUGGGAUCUACACUUUUGCUGGUUCAAAUCAACAUUUUCAACUGUGGAGGAAUUGUUGUUGCUGUGUCCCCUUCGCACAAGAUUGCAGAUGCAGCAUCAGUCCUCACGUUCGUGCGAGCAUGGGCAGCGAUAAAUCGUGAUGAUGGAGCCCUUGGACAGCAAUUGGUGCCGCCGGAGUUUAUUGGAGGGUCUUUGUUGCCGCCUAGAGAGCUAUCCUUGCCGUCCAUCAAGGGAACCUUGGAAAUCCAGAGUCAAAGUUUAGUUACAAGAAGCUUCCCGUCAGUGCAAGCCUGUGAGUUCGAUCAAGCCAACGGUGGUGUCCCAAAUGGUGAGCUUCCG